UACGGAGGGUGCAAGCGUUAUCCGGAUUCACUGGGUUUAAAGGGUGCGUAGGCGGGUUGGUAAGUCCGUGGUGAAUCCCAAGCUUAACUUGGAACUGCCGUGGAUACUAUCAAUCUUGAAUAUCGUGGAGGUAAGCGGAAUAUGUCAUGUAGCGGUGAAAUGCUUAGAUAUGACAUAGAACACCAAUUGCGUAGGCAGCUUACUACACGAUCAUUGACGCUGAGGCACGAAAGCGUGGGAGCAAACAGG
This 249-nucleotide ribosomal RNA is filed under the name uncultured bacterium. Its description in RNAcentral is "partial 16S ribosomal RNA". It matches the Rfam family "Bacterial small subunit ribosomal RNA", at positions 524 to 776 of the family's 1533-position model. The record is from RNAcentral.